Molecule: long non-coding RNA, 887 nt
Organism: Carassius auratus (goldfish)
Lineage: Eukaryota; Metazoa; Chordata; Actinopteri; Cypriniformes; Cyprinidae
Exons: 3
Source: RefSeq, a predicted model, not a curated record
AAAAAGCCAAAUAUUCUUUUGCUUAUACAAUAUUAUUGUAUUUUUGCUUUCUGUUCUGCAGCUAUUAGACUGGCAGGGUGAAAGAUUUUCAGCUACGAGUGGAACUAAUUGUCCUGCUCCAGUUGGUUAUGAAGCUAUCAACAUGGGUGACAUUAAUGAAGAAUAUCAAGUUUAGUAUCAAAACCAGACAGCAAAAUUGGCAAAUUUUAAAAUGUCAUAAUUGUUAUUCAAUAUGAAUUUUCCUGUAGGCUAUACAAUAUUGUGUUUUUUGGGGUUAUGUAUAAAAUAAUUAUUUCCAUAUAUGUAACACAACACUAUUAACUCUUUUCCAAAAACAUUUUAUGCAAAACUCAAAUGAUAAAAUAUAAGCCUAUACAUGAAGGCUUGGACAAUACUGAAACUACAGAAGGAUCAGAUGACUUCUUUUAAAUAAAAGCACAGUCAGGUAAAGGUGAGACCAUUUUGUCUAUUCAAAAGUUAUCUGUAAGUAAAUAAGCAGUAUGUGUGGGAGUCUAUGAAUAAAAAACACUACUACAGUGUCUGCUCUAAAAACAAAAUUUACUAAAUAAUGACCUGCUAACUGUUGAUACUUUUCUAGUACUAUAAACACAAUGGUUGUUAUGCUAAUGCUAAAGCUUAUACUUUCAAUUUCCUACUUUUUGAACAGAUAAACUGGUUCUUUCUUUUAAAAGAACUUGACUUGGCAGUUAUGUCAAUGUCUCAUUGUCGGUUUAGUUCUGAACCUGCUGCACUACAAAAUAUUGCAUCGCAUUAUUUUCAUUUAUCUUUAUGUAUCAGUACUUAGCAAUGUUAGCCUAGCCAAUAGUUGUUAAUGAAUGUUACUUGUUAUAAGAUUUGUCUACUAUAGCUGUUUUAUUAAAGUUUUG